RNAcentral lists this ribosomal RNA (546 nucleotides) under uncultured bacterium. RNAcentral's name for it is "bacterial SSU rRNA". It matches the Rfam family "Bacterial small subunit ribosomal RNA", at positions 340 to 880 of the family's 1533-position model. The record is from RNAcentral.
UACGGGAGGCAGCAGUAGGGAAUCUUCCACAAUGGACGAAAGUCUGAUGGAGCAACGCCGCGUGAACGAUGAAGGCUUUCGGGUCGUAAAGUUCUGUUGUAAGGGAAGAACAAGUGCCGCAGGCAAUGGCGGCACCUUGACGGUUCCUUGAGAAAAAACCACGGCUAACUACGUGCCAGCAGCCGCGGUAAUACGUAGGUGGCAAGCGUUGUCCGGAAUUAUUGGGCGUAAAGCGCGCGCAGGCGGCCUCUUAAGUUUGAUGUGAAAGCCCCCGGCUCAACCGGGGAGGGCCAUUGGAAACUGGGAGGCUUGAGUAUAGGAGAGAAGAGUGGAAUUCCACGUGUAGCGGUGAAAUGCGUAGAGAUGUGGAGGAACACCAGUGGCGAAGGCGACUCUUUGGCCUAUAACUGACGCUGAGGCGCGAAAGCGUGGGGAGCAAACAGGAUUUGAUACCCUGGUAGUCCACGCCGUAAACGAUGAGUGCCUAUUUCAGGGUUUCCGCCCUUCAGUGCUGAAGCUAACGCAAUAAGCACUCCGCCUGGGGAG